Molecule: ribosomal RNA, 253 nt
Filed under: uncultured bacterium
Lineage: Bacteria
Description: partial 16S ribosomal RNA
Rfam family: Bacterial small subunit ribosomal RNA
Source: RNAcentral
UACGUAGGGUGCGAGCGUUAAUCGGAAUUACUGGGCGUAAAGCGUGCGCAGGCGGUUCUCCAAGUCCGGUGUGAAAGCCCCGGGCUCAACCUGGGAAUGGCAGUGGAAACUAGGGGACUGGAAUCUGGCAGAGGGGGGUGGAAUGCCGCGUGUAGCAGUGAGAUGCGUAGAGAUGCGGCGGAACACCGAUGGCGAAGGCAGCCCCCUGGGCUGAGAUUGACGCUCAGGCACGAAAGCGUGGGGAGCAAACAGG